GCACCAGACUCCUACGGGAGGCAGCAGUGGGGAAUAUUGCACAAUGGGGGAAACCCUGAUGCAGCGACGCCGCGUGAGUGAAGAAGUAUUUCGGUAUGUAAAUCUCUAUCAGCAGGGAAGAAAAUGACGGUACCUGAUUAAGAAGCCCCGGCUAACUACGUGCCAGCAGCCGCGGUAAUACGUAGGGGGCAAGCGUUAUCCGGAUUUACUGGGUGUAAAGGGAGCGUAAACGGCAGCACAAGUCUGGAGUGAAGUGCCGGGGCUUAACCCCGGAACUGCUUUGGAAACUGUGCAGCUAGAGUGCAGGAGAGGUAAGUGGAAUUCCUAGUGUAGCGGUGAAAUGCGUAGAUAUUAGGAGGAACACCAGUGGCGAAGGCGGCUUACUGGACUGUAACUGACGUUGAGGCUCGAAAGCGUGGGGAGCAAACAGGAUUAGAUACCCGGGUAGU
Molecule: ribosomal RNA, 449 nt
Filed under: uncultured bacterium
Lineage: Bacteria
Description: bacterial SSU rRNA
Rfam family: Bacterial small subunit ribosomal RNA
Source: RNAcentral